CUUAUAUAGACCAUUGAUAGCAAGAUCUUCUGGGUUCGAUAAAAAUCUGCCAGAGGAUCAAAGAAGUAAUUUUGUCUUAAAGCAAAAAUAAUAAAAUAAUAUUAUAUAUUAUUAUUAUAAGGUGAUGUUCCACUAAACUUCAGCCAGUAGAUCGAUACACAUGUUCCAUUAAAAAGAUGGGUUCCACUCAAACUCUCUCAUCGCUCUUCUAGUCCUAUACUGCUGACGAGAUUGGGACAUACA
RNAcentral lists this long non-coding RNA (243 nucleotides) under Elaeis guineensis (African oil palm). Its description in RNAcentral is "long non-coding RNA (EGUI_LNC014598)". Lineage: Eukaryota; Viridiplantae; Streptophyta; Magnoliopsida; Arecales; Arecaceae. The record is from RNAcentral.